CUCCGGGGGCAGGGAGGUUCGACUCGAGCGAAGCGAGAGAACGUUGCGCCAGCAACGGCCCGCAGGGCGAGCCACGAAGUGGCGAGUAAUCCUCUGGCACCGACCA
RNAcentral lists this small RNA (106 nucleotides) under Escherichia coli. RNAcentral's name for it is "partial RtT sRNA". It matches the Rfam family "RtT RNA", at positions 30 to 130 of the family's 130-position model. Rfam says of the family: This family represents a bacterial cis-regulatory element known as RtT RNA. The exact function of RtT is unknown although it is thought that it may be involved in changing the cellular response in relation to amino acid starvation. Lineage: Bacteria; Pseudomonadati; Pseudomonadota; Gammaproteobacteria; Enterobacterales; Enterobacteriaceae. The record is from RNAcentral.